GGCGUCAUAGCUCAGCUGGGAGAGCAACAGACUGAAGCUCCAUCACACUGAUAGGUGUUAAUCUGGAGGUCCCGUGUUCAAUCCACGGUGAUGCCA
This is a non-coding RNA of Mycena galericulata, 96 nucleotides long. Lineage: Eukaryota; Fungi; Basidiomycota; Agaricomycetes; Agaricales; Mycenaceae. The record is from the annotation of a GenBank genome assembly.